AUUUUAAUGCUACAAAAUUAAAAAUUACUUGGGAGUGUAUAGCUACUAAAACAUGUAUUUUUGUCGCCGUUCCUUCUUCUUUAUGCCCAAAAAUUUACUUCAAUUAAGGUCUUACAAUUCAUAACCAAUAUGAAAGAGCACAAAAUUCUACGCAAACAACAUCAUACAAAAACACAUGUUUUACGACUUAUCGAAGAUAUAAAGCAGAAACAUACCGACAACGAGAUAAGUUUUCACAAUUGCAAAAGUUAA
RNAcentral lists this small RNA (252 nucleotides) under Arabidopsis thaliana (thale cress). RNAcentral's name for it is "ATSL277760". The record is from RNAcentral. Lineage: Eukaryota; Viridiplantae; Streptophyta; Magnoliopsida; Brassicales; Brassicaceae.